Long non-coding RNA from Daphnia magna, 2094 nucleotides. RefSeq lists it as uncharacterized. Lineage: Eukaryota; Metazoa; Arthropoda; Branchiopoda; Diplostraca; Daphniidae. The transcript has 2 exons. The record is from RefSeq and is a predicted model, not a curated record.
CUCAUCUGACAAACAGUAUCCAAUGGACCAGUGCGACAUAGCAGUCCAGUGCUCUAGUCCAAUAUUCGAGAUUUUUCUGUCGUCUGCAAUCUGAUAAAGGAUUUUAUUGAUUAGGCUAAAGUUUGUUGUCGACACUUUAAAUAAUGUACCGAAAAGGACAGACACAACAGUGGCAAGAAGUUUUGCUGAAUUUGCAAUUAGAAGGCGGAGCUUGCAGUUUAAAACAGUUUUCUCCGAUACUACAACAGCAGGAGCCUCCUCAUCCACGUGUACAAGAUUUUCUACAUUGGAUUUUUACAGAACAGGUCAAUAUCCCUCACUCGUUCCAUUUUCUUUUAUCCGCUUUGUUUUACCAAUUACUUUUGCAAUACGGCAAACACUAAACAAACGAUACUGGCUGACAACAUUUAAGGAAAUCGCAAAUUAUCCAGUGUACGUCACGUGGAUCGUUUGGGUGGGUUAAUUACGUAAUUAACAACACCUGGCGUCAUUCUUGCAUUAUGUGAUAUCUGAUUUAUCAAACGAUUAACGGAGUAUAAGACAACAAUCCUAGAAUGAUGUCGCGGAGCCAUCCUCCAUCCGGUAUUUUGAUCCUUGUAAACCAAAGAUGAUAUUUUAGCAUUUGCCCCCAUUCAGAUCGUCUAUUAAUUAGUGAUGGAAUGGGAUUUCGUUCCCCCCCCCCCCACAAAGUACUACAUUCACGUUAUUCAACUCCAACGGACGUCUGUGAUCUCAAUUUGUGUUGAUUAGAUACGCUAGAUAAAAUUGCCAAUUUCAUCCGAGAUUUCCCUUUCUCCCGUUGUGUAAUCUUGACAUUUGCAAUUGCUCCCCAAUGCGUUUCGAAGCUCUCGUGUCAUAAAUUUGUUUUGUUUUUUAAGGUCCAGCAACCUUCCCAAGAAAAUUACCUCAUCUAACGUCUUUUUUCCGUGACUUUUAUACUUAAAAAUUGUGUGAUGAAAGAUAAUUUGAUAUCUUAUUCAUACAUAGGGGCGCUAACGUGGAAAAAAUUUCAGUAAAAAACAUGAGGUUGUUAGGAAUCGAUCAAGUUUCAAUCAGAGCCAAUGACGUUUCACAUGUCAGCCGCUAGACUUGGAAUUCUCUCACGCCAUCAUUUAUUAUAGCUCACACAGGAAAAACUUGUGAAGGGGUGGUCUAGAUGGGUAAAUAAGUUUUCUUGGAAAUGUCCAAAUCGAUCGUGUCUCAAUUCCAAAGUUUGAAAACGGGCACCACCAAAAUGUAAUCUCUUGAUAUGUAAAAGAUGUGUCGUUAUCAGACGAGAUUCAAAGAUCAAAACAUCAAGACAAUAACAUGUUGACAACAAAUGUAUGAUAGAUUUUGUUACAGAUGUACGAUUAAGUAGAUUUGCUUAAAUUAUCCAGAGGGGUUGAUGUAAUGUUAAUUGCGUAGUUUUUCUGGCAAUAAUAAACAAAGGGCUGGGAGUGUUUGGAUGUUGCGUAACUGCGUAGUUCAAGAGAAUAACAAACAAGAACUCGGCUAGACUUACGACGACGUAAACAUCAGCUACGCCUCAAAUUCUUAUUGAAUAAAUAUAUCCAAUUGGCUAAAAAUGAAUUUGUGAAAUUGCUCUGCUAACAUGUUUUCCUUCUUUUCUUAGAGAACUACUAAUUAGAAUUGAUUCAUGUUAUAAAAGCAGAUGACCUUUAGCAGGAAUCAAUUCUUUAGAAAUGACUGACAAAGGCAGUAAUUGCGUUAUUGUUAUUUAAUGGAUUGUUCUCUUCGGAGAUGAAAAGCCCGUUCCCGGCGACCAUCAGUUUCCCGACCGCUUUAAUGUCAAAUACGUUAACUCUCUGCCAGCCAAACUAUUUUCGGUUAACUGUAUAUUUUAUAUACAGUGGCGAAUCACACACUUUGUACUGGCCACUAUCAGAAUGUUUUUUUUUAUCUAUGUCCUGUUUCUUUUUGUGUGGAUUCAUCACGGAAAAAUUGAUGAUAUGCAAUUGCUAUUGGGAUCGCACUGAGAUAGACCCAGUUUUCUGACCUCAUUUCAACAGCAAAAUUUAGUCAACAAUUUGAUGAACUUUAAGAGUUAAAACCCAAAACAAUUUAAACAAUAGAAAAUAUUCUUUCAUGUCA